RNAcentral lists this long non-coding RNA (358 nucleotides) under Rhinopithecus bieti (black snub-nosed monkey). RNAcentral describes it as "lncRNA (ENSRBIG00000045945.1)". The record is from RNAcentral. Lineage: Eukaryota; Metazoa; Chordata; Mammalia; Primates; Cercopithecidae.
GCAGCUACUACUCUCUAGAGAAGGCCUGUGGAUCAUCUUCAUUGUCAUCGUCAUCUGCGUAUCUGCAUCCUCAUCACUGCAUCAUCACCAGCACCAUUUAUUAAACACAAGGCCAGAUGUUUUAUCCUGCUGUGUUAAGUCAUCUUGACAUGUUGCCAUGAAAUGGAAACAACUGCUCGUUUUAAUAUUGCUCCAUAUCUUUAUUACAAGAUGCUUUUAUGGUUCUACAAAUCGGGGUUGCCCAGGACAAGGAUAACAGCAAGAAAUAUCUCAAAUUCCCUCUAAAAUCUCUAAGAUCUAAUUAGCACUUAUGUGGAAAAGCCAUAUUCCUAAUAAAAAUAAGAUACAGAAACCUCCA